Molecule: ribosomal RNA, 309 nt
Filed under: Triticum aestivum (bread wheat)
Lineage: Eukaryota; Viridiplantae; Streptophyta; Magnoliopsida; Poales; Poaceae
Description: partial small subunit ribosomal RNA
Source: RNAcentral
AUGAUCAUUUACAGACUAGCUGAUCUUGCCCUAGGAAAGAUUGUCCCGGUAAACAGCAUAGGUGGCAAUGCUCUUUUGUUUGGUACUAAAGGGAACCCGAGUUUUAGUUUGUCGGCGGUGCCUACCAUCACUGGCGAUACCAUUGUGGUUGCAAAUUGCAUCCCUGACAAAUAUAUAUUGCAAUACCACCUCAGCAGCGACACCUGGUCAGCAAGAGUUGGGGGAUGUGCAGAACAUGGUUGCAACAUGGAGUGUACUUGUAGCCUCAUUAACCAUAUGUGCAAUUCAUGUCAUUGCAUUUUUAAGUGA